GUAGUUGUUGCAGUCGGCAUUCACACCUUGGACGAUUUUUCAGCACUAAAUAUGGGGAAAGGCAAACAAGAUGCAUGACAUUUUGUCAAAAGUGUCAAUUUCGGUGCCGAUAUUUCAUUGUUAUGGACACAAGGCUUCAUGCCAGAUGGUCAGAAAAUUGCCACUCGCUUGUCCAGGCAAAUCACCAAGAUCACGAACAAGAUGAAAUUAACAAUUGAGAAACACAAUGCUGCCAUUGAUUCUCUUCGUGAUA
Molecule: long non-coding RNA, 253 nt
Organism: Xenia sp. Carnegie-2017
Lineage: Eukaryota; Metazoa; Cnidaria; Anthozoa; Malacalcyonacea; Xeniidae
Exons: 3
Source: RefSeq, a predicted model, not a curated record